UCCUUUAAUGCAAUUAAUAAAAUAAAACCGACAAUUACCCAAAAUAAAAUUGAUAAAUUGAUAUGUGCAUUUAUUGUCAAGGGUUUACACCCUUUGAGCCUAGUUGAACAGCCUGAAUUUGUUACAAUGAUGGAAGAUAUUCUUAGUAACAUUGGAUCAUUUAAAAAUUUUUCGAGGAGGUAUUUGCAGAGAAGAAUAGAAGAAAUUUUUGAAAAUCAUGUACAUACUUUAAAAAGUACUUUAAAAGUUCAAUCAUAUAUAUGCACCACGACAGAUUUGUGGUCUACAAAAACCCGUAGCUUUAUGGGAAUAACAGCUCACUGGAUAACACGAGAAACCCUUGAAAGGAAAUCAAGAGCCUUGGCAUGUAGAAGAAUGCCCGGCACCCAUUCAUUUGAUAAAAUUGCUGAAUUAUUGGAAGAAGUCUAUAGAGAGUAUGGAAUUUCUGAUAAACUAAUUGCUACCGUCACAGAUAAUGCAUCCAAUUUUGUCAAGUCAUUUAAUGAAUAUGGUGUGAAAUUAAAUGUUCUUGACAAUGAUUUUGAGGAUGAGAAUGAUCUAUU
Long non-coding RNA from Gordionus sp. m RMFG-2023, 563 nucleotides. RefSeq lists it as uncharacterized. The record is from RefSeq and is a predicted model, not a curated record. The transcript has 3 exons. Lineage: Eukaryota; Metazoa; Nematomorpha; Gordioida; Chordodea; Parachordodidae.